UAAUAAGUGUCUUAUGGCACUUUUUAAAUCCAUAUCCACCUUGUGUGCAAUGUCAGUCGAUCUUCAUCAUGGAGAUCGACCAAACAUCAACCUUUAUCUUUUAACUCUUUGUCUGAAAAAUAUUAUGGAUAAACAAUUCAAAAUA
RNAcentral lists this unclassified non-coding RNA (145 nucleotides) under soil metagenome. RNAcentral describes it as "partial internal transcribed spacer 1". The record is from RNAcentral.